RNAcentral lists this ribosomal RNA (449 nucleotides) under uncultured bacterium. Its description in RNAcentral is "partial 16S ribosomal RNA". It matches the Rfam family "Bacterial small subunit ribosomal RNA", at positions 28 to 523 of the family's 1533-position model. The record is from RNAcentral.
GACGAACGCUGGCGGCAUGCCUAACACAUGCAAGUCGAACGAAGGCUUCGGCCUUAGUGGCGCACGGGUGCGUAACGCGUGGGGAUCUGCCCUUUGCUUCGGAAUAACAGUUAGAAAUGACUGCUAAUACCGGAUGAUGUCGUAAGACCAAAGAUUUAUCGGCAAAGGAUGAACCCGCGUAGGAUUAGCUAGUUGGUAGGGUAAAGGCCUACCAAGGCGACGAUCCUUAGCUGGUCUGAGAGGAUGAUCAGCCACACUGGGACUGAGACACGGCCCAGACUCCUACGGGAGGCAGCAGUGGGGAAUAUUGGACAAUGGGCGAAAGCCUGAUCCAGCAAUGCCGCGUGAGUGAUGAAGGCCUUAGGGUUGUAAAGCUCUUUUACCCGGGAUGAUAAUGACAGUACCGGGAGAAUAAGCUCCGGCUAACUCCGUGCCAGCAGCCGCAGUAA